Cicer arietinum (chickpea) is the source of this 496-nucleotide long non-coding RNA. RefSeq lists it as uncharacterized. The record is from RefSeq and is a predicted model, not a curated record. Lineage: Eukaryota; Viridiplantae; Streptophyta; Magnoliopsida; Fabales; Fabaceae.
AUAACUUUUAUUUUUAACAUUCAAAUAGUGAAAAAUAUGGCUAAAAUUUUCGAGUUUACUUUUUACAUGACUCUCGUUACUUUUCUCUUUCUUAUUUCAACAAAUGUUCACGCAUUUAUUGAAUGUGAGAAGCAUGAACAAUGUCCAAUAGAUAUGUGUAAAUUAUAUUGGCUUGUGAGGUGUUAUAAGUAUAAAUGUAAUUGUGUUAAUGUGUGGGGUUAUGGGGAGCCAAUAUGGGAUAGUAAACAAAAUAAAUGUAAAAAAGAAUGAGUUCUUGCAUUAGCAAAAUAUCUAAGAGAAAAGAAGUAUCUCAUUUACUAAAUAAAAGGACCAUGUAGUUUUGGUUUUGUACUGUAAAGAUGAUGGUAAUGAAAUUUAAUAAGGCAACACAAAAUUAUAAUUUAGAUUUUCUUUACAAGAAUACGAGUGCAAAAGUAUACUUUAUUGUUGUAAUAAUUGUGUAGGUGUUAAUAAAAGGUUUAUUUUGGUGUGUCAA